This 492-nucleotide ribosomal RNA is filed under the name uncultured bacterium. Its description in RNAcentral is "partial 16S ribosomal RNA". It matches the Rfam family "Bacterial small subunit ribosomal RNA", at positions 29 to 507 of the family's 1533-position model. The record is from RNAcentral.
AGUGAACGCUGGCGGUAGGCCUAACACAUGCAAGUCGAACGGCAGCACAGUAAGAGCUUGCUCUUACGGGUGGCGAGUGGCGGACGGGUGAGGAAUACAUCGGAAUCUACUUUUUCGUGGGGGAUAACGUAGGGAAACUUACGCUAAUACCGCAUACGACCUACGGGUGAAAGCAGGGGAUCUUCGGACCUUGUGCGAUUGAACGAGCCGAUGUCGGAUUAGCUAGUUGGCGGGGUAAAGGCCCACCAAGGCGACGAUCCGUAGCUGGUCUGAGAGGAUGGUCGGCCACACUGGAACUGAGACACGGUCCAGACUCCUACGGGAGGCAGCAGUGGGGAAUAUUGGACAGUGGGCGCGAGCCUGAUCCAGCCAUACCGCGUGGGUGAAGAAGGCCUUCGGGUUGUAAAGCCCUUUUGUUGGGAAAGAAAAGCAGCAGGUUAAUACCCCGCUGUUCUGACGGUACCCAAAGAAUAAGCACCGGCCAACUUCGUG